CCUACGGGAGACAGCAGUGAGGAAUAUUGGUCAAUGGGCGCGAGCCUGAACCAGCCAAGUAGCGUGAAGGAUGACUGCCCUACGGGUUGUAAACUUCUUUUAUAUGGGAAUAAAAUGUUCCACGUGUGGGAUUUUGUAUGUACCAUAUGAAUAAGGAUCGGCUAACUCCGUGCCAGCAGCCGCGGUAAUACGGAGGAUCCGAGCGUUAUCCGGAUGUAUUGGGGUUAAAGGGAGCGUAGGUGGAGUGUUAAGUCAGUUGUGAAAGUUUGCGGCUCAACAGGAAAAUUGCAGUUGAAACUGGCAGUCUUGAGUACAGUAGAGGUGGGCGGAAUUCGUGGUGUAGCGGUGAAAUGCUUAGAUAUCACGAAGAACUCCGAUUGCGAAGGCAGCUCACUGGACUGCAACUGACACUGAGGCUCGAAAGUAUGGGUAUCAAACAGGAUUAGAUACCCCUGUAGUC
RNAcentral lists this ribosomal RNA (460 nucleotides) under uncultured bacterium. RNAcentral's name for it is "partial 16S ribosomal RNA". It matches the Rfam family "Bacterial small subunit ribosomal RNA", at positions 338 to 795 of the family's 1533-position model. The record is from RNAcentral.